This 740-nucleotide ribosomal RNA is filed under the name Halomonas sp. PY110. Its description in RNAcentral is "bacterial SSU rRNA". It matches the Rfam family "Bacterial small subunit ribosomal RNA", at positions 57 to 793 of the family's 1533-position model. Lineage: Bacteria; Pseudomonadati; Pseudomonadota; Gammaproteobacteria; Oceanospirillales; Halomonadaceae. The record is from RNAcentral.
GCAGUCGAGCGGUAACAGAUCCAGCUUGCUGGAUGCUGACGAGCGGCGGACGGGUGAGUAAUGCAUAGGAAUCUGCCCGAUAGUGGGGGAUAACCUGGGGAAACCCAGGCUAAUACCGCAUACGUCCUACGGGAGAAAGGGGGCUUCGGCUCCCGCUAUCGGAUGAGCCUAUGUCGGAUUAGCUAGUUGGUGAGGUAACGGCUCACCAAGGCAACGAUCCGUAGCUGGUCUGAGAGGAUGAUCAGCCACAUCGGGACUGAGACACGGCCCGAACUCCUACGGGAGGCAGCAGUGGGGAAUAUUGGACAAUGGGGGCAACCCUGAUCCAGCCAUGCCGCGUGUGUGAAGAAGGCCCUCGGGUUGUAAAGCACUUUCAGCGAGGAAGAACGCCUAGCGGUUAAUACCCGCUAGGAAAGACAUCACUCGCAGAAGAAGCACCGGCUAACUCCGUGCCAGCAGCCGCGGUAAUACGGAGGGUGCAAGCGUUAAUCGGAAUUACUGGGCGUAAAGCGCGCGUAGGUGGCUUGAUAAGCCGGUUGUGAAAGCCCCGGGCUCAACCUGGGAACGGCAUCCGGAACUGUCAAGCUAGAGUGCAGGAGAGGAAGGUAGAAUUCCCGGUGUAGCGGUGAAAUGCGUAGAGAUCGGUAGGAAUACCAGUGGCGAAAGCGGCCUUCUGGACUGACACUGACACUGAGGUGCGAAAGCGUGGGGUUGCAAACAGGAUUAGAUACCCUGGGUAG